UGCCUGAACUUUAAGGCCUAUCUAUAA
RNAcentral lists this non-coding RNA (27 nucleotides) under Mus musculus (house mouse). The record is from RNAcentral. Lineage: Eukaryota; Metazoa; Chordata; Mammalia; Rodentia; Muridae.